This 253-nucleotide ribosomal RNA is filed under the name uncultured bacterium. RNAcentral's name for it is "partial 16S ribosomal RNA". It matches the Rfam family "Bacterial small subunit ribosomal RNA", at positions 524 to 776 of the family's 1533-position model. The record is from RNAcentral.
UACGAAGGGGGCUAGCGUUGUUCGGAUUUACUGGGCGUAAAGCGCACGUAGGCGGAUCGUUAAGUCGGGGGUGAAAUCCUGGAGCUCAACUCCAGAACUGCCUUCGAUACUGGAGAGCUUGAGUCCGGGAGAGGUGAGUGGAACUGCGAGUGUAGAGGUGAAAUUCGUAGAUAUUCGCAAGAACACCAGUGGCGAAGGCGGCUCACUGGCCCGGUACUGACGCUGAGGUGCGAAAGCGUGGGGAGCAAACAGG